UGUAAAUAGGUGUAUGACGCAUAUGGAAUUUUGAUUUCCUUGGAUUAAAGUUUAAUUCUUAAAUUUACAA
This 70-nucleotide transfer RNA is filed under the name Parathailocyba orla. Its description in RNAcentral is "tRNA-Gln". Lineage: Eukaryota; Metazoa; Arthropoda; Insecta; Hemiptera; Cicadellidae. The record is from RNAcentral.